This 1473-nucleotide ribosomal RNA is filed under the name Bacteroides salyersiae. RNAcentral's name for it is "16S ribosomal RNA". It matches the Rfam family "Bacterial small subunit ribosomal RNA". The record is from RNAcentral. Lineage: Bacteria; Pseudomonadati; Bacteroidota; Bacteroidia; Bacteroidales; Bacteroidaceae.
CUGGCUCAGGAUGAACGCUAGCUACAGGCUUAACACAUGCAAGUCGAGGGGCAUCAGGGUGUAGCAAUACACCGCUGGCGACCGGCGCACGGGUGAGUAACACGUAUCCAACCUGCCCUUUACUCGGGGAUAGCCUUUCGAAAGAAAGAUUAAUACCCGAUGGUAUAACAUGACCUCCUGGUUUUGUUAUUAAAGAAUUUCGGUAGAGGAUGGGGAUGCGUUCCAUUAGGCAGUUGGCGGGGUAACGGCCCACCAAACCUUCGAUGGAUAGGGGUUCUGAGAGGAAGGUCCCCCACAUUGGAACUGAGACACGGUCCAAACUCCUACGGGAGGCAGCAGUGAGGAAUAUUGGUCAAUGGGCGAGAGCCUGAACCAGCCAAGUAGCGUGAAGGAUGACCGCCCUAUGGGUUGUAAACUUCUUUUAUAUGGGAAUAAAGGGUGCCACGUGUGGCAUUUUGUAUGUACCAUAUGAAUAAGGAUCGGCUAACUCCGUGCCAGCAGCCGCGGUAAUACGGAGGAUCCGAGCGUUAUCCGGAUUUAUUGGGUUUAAAGGGAGCGUAGGUGGACAUGUAAGUCAGUUGUGAAAGUUUGCGGCUCAACCGUAAAAUUGCAGUUGAUACUGCGUGUCUUGAGUACAGUAGAGGUGGGCGGAAUUCGUGGUGUAGCGGUGAAAUGCUUAGAUAUCACGAAGAACUCCGAUUGCGAAGGCAGCUCACUGGACUGCAACUGACACUGAUGCUCGAAAGUGUGGGUAUCAAACAGGAUUAGAUACCCUGGUAGUCCACACAGUAAACGAUGAAUACUCGCUGUUUGCGAUAUACAGUAAGCGGCCAAGCGAAAGCAUUAAGUAUUCCACCUGGGGAGUACGCCGGCAACGGUGAAACUCAAAGGAAUUGACGGGGGCCCGCACAAGCGGAGGAACAUGUGGUUUAAUUCGAUGAUACGCGAGGAACCUUACCCGGGCUUAAAUUGCAAAUGAAUAUGCCGGAAACGGCAUAGCCGCAAGGCAUUUGUGAAGGUGCUGCAUGGUUGUCGUCAGCUCGUGCCGUGAGGUGUCGGCUUAAGUGCCAUAACGAGCGCAACCCUUAUCUUCAGUUACUAACAGGUUAUGCUGAGGACUCUGGAGAGACUGCCGUCGUAAGAUGUGAGGAAGGUGGGGAUGACGUCAAAUCAGCACGGCCCUUACGUCCGGGGCUACACACGUGUUACAAUGGGGGGUACAGAAGGCCGCUACACAGCGAUGUGAUGCCAAUCCCUAAAGCCCCUCUCAGUUCGGAUCGAAGUCUGCAACCCGACUUCGUGAAGCUGGAUUCGCUAGUAAUCGCGCAUCAGCCACGGCGCGGUGAAUACGUUCCCGGGCCUUGUACACACCGCCCGUCAAGCCAUGGGAGCCGGGGGUACCUGAAGUACGUAACCGCAAGGAGCGUCCUAGGGUAAAACUGGUGACUGGGGCUAAGUCGUAACAAGGUAACC